Sander lucioperca (pikeperch) is the source of this 1480-nucleotide long non-coding RNA. RefSeq lists it as uncharacterized. The record is from RefSeq and is a predicted model, not a curated record. NCBI's taxonomy places the organism in Eukaryota, Metazoa, Chordata, Actinopteri, Perciformes, Percidae. The transcript has 2 exons.
AACACAUACAGUACAUGCAUACAGUCCCAUGUGUAGUUCCACUUGUAGCUGUCUAGGUGUGUCAGUGAUGCCAAAAAAAACAUACCUGUGUGUGUUUUUGAGUUAUGAAACGUGACCGGGCUUGUCUCCACUGUUCUCUGCUCUGCAAAAAAAAAAAAACAACAGCAGAGAAAAAGCUCCAGGUCCCAAAAAGGGAAAUUGUCAAUUGAAAACAGGGAAAUCCUGAGACAAAUUGAAGGUCAGUGAGUAGACAAAGAGCUGCGUCAGGCAACCAAAAGACAUGAACUCCAAUAUCAUGACUCAUUUGUACAGUCUGGGAAAACAAAACCUGAAAAAGCCCCUAGACUUCACUGUCAGGACACACAACCAGACUGUAUGUAUCAGCAGCCCCUUAGUGUUGUUCAGGUAAUCACAAAGCAUUUCAGUUGAUAGGUAAUUUGUUCAUUUGUUAAAUUACUGCUGAUUGAAAUCAGUCACUUCUUGAUACUAUUCCUCCACAUUAAAAGUUUUCCAUGAGUUAUUCACAUGGAGGCUUUUAUGGUGGAGCAGCAACAGGAGAUGUGUUGCAUUUGUCACUGGGUCAGCAGCACAGACUAUUGUUGGCUAUAACUUUGUGUAAACAAUACGAUUUUUUUUAAUUCAUUGUAUAAGUUUUGAAUAUGAAAGGGAGGAAUAGUAGAAGAAGAAGCAGCCACACUGAGCAUGUUGUGUGAAAAGCUGCAGACGACAGGCUCUUACUGCAGUUAGUGCGGACCACAACACCUUCAACACGUCAUCAAGGUAAACAACGCUUAGCAUGCCAUCCUGUUGGACGGAAAACUGCACACGCUGUUUGAUGAUUGCGUUUGCUCGCAGUGUGGUACAAGUGUCCCAGUCCUGAAAAGGAAUAUAAUGUUUCUUAGGUACCUAGCAUCAAGCAUUCUUUUUGAAACUUACAGGAGUUGAGAGGAUUGACACAUGAAAAACAUUUCCGGAUCCAGAAUUGGGUUGGCUUGUCUGUUCACUGUAAAAAAAAAAAAAAAAGAAAAGUUCUAAAUUUCAGCUGCAGCUAAUCUGAGGCUAGACAGCCAAAUCAAGUGGGUAUCUAUCAAAAUUAUGUUCUUUUAAGUACCAAAUUUCCUCUCGUUCUUGUUGCAGCUCUAUAAGGAAAACAACAAGGAAUUUGAAACAAAAAAAAGCUGCAACUUUGGAAGAAAGCCAACUUCAUUUGUCUGACUCAAACUGCUCAAGUUUUCUCAUUUUAGCUACAGCUGAACUUUAGGAUGAAUUUCUACACCGAACAAAGACUGUUGAUUUUGUCCCCCCAUCACUUACUUUGAAAUCACCCAAGUAAGGAACUCUUCAUGGUCAGUUACAACAUGAUUACAGCGACCAAAACUGAUUUGUAUGGACAGUAUUGUUUUUACGACAAUUAUGCAUCUAAAUACUCUACAUUAAACAUUCUUUUUUAAAUUUACAGGAGUUGAGAGGAGUAAAAAAA